RNAcentral lists this ribosomal RNA (494 nucleotides) under uncultured bacterium. RNAcentral describes it as "partial 16S ribosomal RNA". It matches the Rfam family "Bacterial small subunit ribosomal RNA", at positions 28 to 507 of the family's 1533-position model. The record is from RNAcentral.
GACGAACGCUGGCGGCGUGCUUAACACAUGCAAGUCGAACGGAAAGGCCUGCUUUCCCUUGUGGAUUGCGGGUACUCGAGUGGCGAACGGAUGAGUAACACGUGAGUGAUCUGCCCCCAACUUGGGUAUAAGCCUGGGAAACUGGGUCUAAUUCCCGAUAGGACUGCAGGGUGGUGCCUGUGGUGGCAAACGUUUUUCUAGUGGUUGGGGAUGAGCUCGCGGCGUAUCAGCUUGUUGGUGGGGUAAUGUCCUACCAAGGCGGGGACGGGUAGCCGGCCUGGGAGGGUGGACGGCCGCAUUGGGACUGAGAUACGGCCCAGACUGCUAGGGGAGGCAGCGGUGGGGAAGAAAGCACAGUGAGCGGAAGCCUGAUGCAGCGACGCAGCGUGGAGGAUGACGGCCUUCGGGUUGUAAGCUACUUGCGACCGAGAGGAAGCCACCUGGUUGUAAGGGUGGUGACGGUAGUGGUAGAAGAAGCACCGGCUAACUACGUG